This is a long non-coding RNA of Mytilus californianus (California mussel), 512 nucleotides long. RefSeq lists it as uncharacterized. NCBI's taxonomy places the organism in Eukaryota, Metazoa, Mollusca, Bivalvia, Mytilida, Mytilidae. The record is from RefSeq and is a predicted model, not a curated record. The transcript is spliced from 4 exons.
AAUUGAGAAACUGUAUUAUUUACGACAAUAAUUUGUAUUAAAGCAAAAUUCUUCAUUAGAUAAAAUUUGUUCGAAACUUCCGGAUACUCUCACCGCCUUUUUUAAAUUGGGAAAACAACGAGACAUGCUAGAAGAGUAGUUCUACAGAAUAGCGUUUAGUCUAAGAGGUCCAGUAUUUGGUGUCACAGGGUGGUCACAGCCCUUCAAACUGUAAGGAAGGAUGAUGAAAAAGGUGUGGCACUAAUCAGUUAUGGGCCAAAUACAGUCUGAAGGGGCAAAAGAGAAAAGAGGCAUUCACAGGUCACCCUUUUGUGCAGAAUAAUCAUGAAAAGUUGUGCAAGAGUGUUCCCAAAAUCCAAGGUUGCCGAUAUGGAGGAGGUCUUAAUUCCUAAAACAGGCCCCACACAAGCCAUGAGGACAAAAAUAUAAGAAACCUGUAAGAAAAGGACUGAUGAUAUCGCAAGAAGAAUUGGAGUCUGAACAAAUAAAUCUGUUUAAAAGAACUUGAUUCU